GACGAACGCUGGCGGCGUGCUUAACACAUGCAAGUCGAACGGAAAGGCCCUGCUUUUGUGGGGUGCUCGAGUGGCGAACGGGUGAGUAACACGUGAGUAACCUGCCCUUGACUUUGGGAUAACUUCAGGAAACUGGGGCUAAUACCGGAUAGGAGCUCCUGCUGCAUGGUGGGGGUUGGAAAGUUUCGGCGGUGUGGGAUGGACUCGCGGCUUAUCAGCUUGUUGGUGGGGUAGUGGCUUACCAAGGCUUUGACGGGUAGCCGGCCUGAGAGGGUGACCGGCCACAUUGGGACUGAGAUACGGCCCCGACUCCUACGGGAGGCAGCAGUGGGGAAUAUUGCCCAAUGGGCGGAAGCCUGAUGCAGCAACGCCGCGUGCGGGAUGACGGCCUUCGGGUUGUAAACCGCUUUCGCCUGUGACGAAGCGUGAGUGACGGUAAUGGGUAAAGAAGCACCGGCUAACUACGUG
RNAcentral lists this ribosomal RNA (468 nucleotides) under uncultured bacterium. RNAcentral's name for it is "partial 16S ribosomal RNA". It matches the Rfam family "Bacterial small subunit ribosomal RNA", at positions 28 to 507 of the family's 1533-position model. The record is from RNAcentral.